This is a non-coding RNA of Hydra vulgaris (swiftwater hydra), 5030 nucleotides long. NCBI's taxonomy places the organism in Eukaryota, Metazoa, Cnidaria, Hydrozoa, Anthoathecata, Hydridae. The record is from RefSeq and is a predicted model, not a curated record.
UUGAAUGAAUUGAAUAAUUAUAAUAGUUAGUAAUUAUUAACUCCUUAACAUUAUUUAAAAAUAUAUGACUAGUCGUAUAUUUUUAAAUAAUGUUAAGGGGUUAGUGUUAAAUCGUGUAUCACGUAUUUCUGUCAAAUCGUGUUUGUCGAAGACUGAAAAUCUUCUUAUAAAAACAUAUAUGACACCUUUUGGAUCUUUAAUCACCCGCUACAUUAUAACAAAAGCUCUUAUAACAUAGUUGCAUGGUGAACGGUAUAUUGUGUACAUUCCGUAUGAUCCAUUAAUUAGGCAAUGUGAGCACACCAGGGCCUUUGAGACGGAGGGGCAAAGGGGGUAAAUUGACCCGGGCGCCAAGCUUUAAGGGGCGCUAGACAAUCCGUUGGUUUUUUAUUUAUUUAUUUUUUAUUAUUUUUUUUUUUUACAAUAAAUAUAAAGUAUUUUAAUGACUGACAUUUUGAAAUCUACUUAGUUUUUGUACUUGAGAUUAAAGCUUUAGUAUUCGGAAUAAAAACGCUCAUGAAAAAAAUAAUUUAGAAUUUAAAUUCUAUUAUUAUAGUUAAUUAUAAACUAUUUUUUACGAAAAAAAUACAAUUUAUUGAAGUAGAAUUAGACGGAAGCGGAAGUAUUCGGUAAGCCUGUGAACAGUUACCAAUGCUAGCUCAUGCUUGAUUGUUUGGAAGAUGAUGAAAUAUAGUAAUUAUAAUGGUAACUGAUCAAAUAUCGCUUUGAAGCAGCCAACACUAAUAGAACUGAAAAUUUCGUUUAGUAAUGCGUUCCACGGAUUCGCUUCAACUUCUUGCAAAAACAAACACACGAGACUUUAUUGUCGAUUUCACGAUAAAAGCGGUACUCAUUUAGAUAGUAUUUGACUUUGAAUCAAAAGAAUCAUAGCUUUGCGUUUUUUAGAUAAAUAAGCAAUUUUUCCACUACCAGCACCCAAACAAAUAUUUGAGUUUUUGCACCUUUGCUGCACUCAAUAUGUGUAAUUUACUACACUCAAUAUGUAUGAUUUGAAGAUCAGUAGAGGGUUCAAACAAGUUCCUUAAAUCUGAGCUAAAGAAUUUCAAAUUUAUUGUCUGAGUCAGAACGAGAAAAUUUAUAUCUUACAGUGGAGAAUGUGAUGUUCAACCUGAUAUGGUAAUAAUUACUGCUAACCCCUCUUUGUGGCCUGUUGUUUUGAGUCAAAAAAAUCAAGAUGUAAUUAUUUAAAAAAAAAAAAAAACCAGCACAAAAGCAGUUUUCAAAAGUAGGUAAUUGUCGCUUCUUCGUUAGAACAGAGGAGCUAGUGAUCAAUGGAGGAAACUCAUAAAUCGUGUAAAACAGCAUCAAUCCAGCAAAAGUGCAGAUCUCGAAGAAAUCCAGAAUGGUAUCUACUUCACAAUCAUAGUCGAUUGUACCCCAAUAUAUCUCAUACUGACCAGAUAAUCUUUGUUGUUCGUUUUCUCCUCUAUGAAGGAGAAAUUAACUGCUGGAAAAUCAAAGAACGAUACUUGUGUGUUGAAACUUUUCAGAUAAAGAAAGAAGUUGAUAUAGCUAAACUAACCACUAAUGUAGCUUUAAGGCUGAGAAUGAAUGUUCAAAACACGACACGAAAGUGGGACCAUUAUGUCAAGUGCUUACAAAGAAGCUCAAGCCUUAAUAAGGUAAAAUUUCUUGCGAAUUUAUUAAACUCUGUACGUUCCCGGUAGCGCUCACUAUCUAAAUUUGGCUGAUGUGUACGCAGUUGAAUCAGUCAUUGAGAUCAAAGUAUUCUUUAAAAAUGCCGUACCUUGGUACGUAUUUUUAGUGUUUUUUUCAAUGGAAGAUUCUCACUGAAGCAACUUGGAUUUUACUGCAUAGACUUUCUAUGACAACAUGGAGCUCUCUUAUCGACUUGAUCAAACUACUUGCCAAGAGAAACGUUGGCAGCUCUUAAACAUGUCGUGAAAAUCCAUGUUUGACCAGUGAGUAGUUGCUAGUCGUCUUCUACAAUCUGCAGCCAUUACCAUUGAUGAUGAUCUACAUUUGAUUGGACAGCUGCUUGAAAAUCUUAAACGGAUUAGGGACACUUGGUUGUAAAUUUUCUAAGAGUCUGUAAUUGUAUCUGACUCGCUAGGAUUCCAAGUUGAACUCGCUACUAAAGGAAAGCGUAAGCUAAAAAUUUUAUGAUGAGACAUCAAACACAGCCAAUUUCCACCAAAAAAAAGAACUUAAAGUGAACGUUUUAAAUGAUUAUUUAGACAAUUUCUGCGAUAUUCGAUCUAAUCUUGUAAAAGAAACUUGAACGCUAUUUUCCAUACAGUUGUAUCAUUUUCCGGAUUUUCAACCAAAUUCCUAAGUCAGUUGCUGACGGUAAACAAUCAUUUAAUAAACUAAAAAUUGUAAAACACUCUCCUUUGACCAUGGGUCAGGAUCGCGUUAUUGGUAUUUGAUUAUUUUGAUUAAAAAAGAUUUUGGCUAAAAAGUUAGCUUUGACAAUGUCAUUAUUUGGGUGACCAUAAAAGCUCAAAAAGUUUAUUUUUAAGUGCUUUGUUUACCUUUUUUAAAGGUUUUGUUGAAUAAUUUUUUAAUAGUUUUAAAGUUAAUGUUUUGAUCAUGUCAAAAAACCGUUUCUCAAUCCAGAGAAUUAAUGGUAACGCAAAAGUACAAAGUGCUGUAUUAGAAACAAAUAACUGCUGCGUUCACAAAAUUUUUAAAAUUUAAAUUUCUUUAACUAGUUUGAAUUAAGGACGUUGCUCUUCAUUUUUGACCCGGGCGCCAAUGACGCUCUUGAAGGCCCUGGAGCACACACAUCCUAAGGGUUGCUUUAGUUACGUUUUUUAAGUGUUAAGGUUUUUUUUUAUUGUAAUCUAUGCCCGUUUCAGAUAAUGCAAAUAAUUGUGCAUAAUAUAUGACGGUUUAUUUUUUAUUUCACAACACUUUGUAAUGAUAAUACUAAAAAAACAUUGUACGAAUGGUUUAGGUAAAAGAAAUAACGGGUUAUGUGUCACAAAGUGUUAAUAAUGUACUAAUGAAUCACUAGGUGUAAAAGAAUGAAUUUAAAAAAAUGCGUUAUAAUAAAAAUAAUCAAUACUGAUUAUUUCCAUAUAAGUGUAGCACCACGUAACUUAAUAGCCUACUAACUACUACUUCUAAUUACCCAUAUCUCAAUAUCACUAAAAUGAAGAAAGUAGUUAAUAUUAAAUAGACCUCAAUUUGAUGAGCCGCUUUCACGUUGGCAGGGCCUUUAUUGGUUACCUAACAAUAAUGAGAUUUUUAAGAUGUGUGCUGCACAAAAGUAGUCGAGGUAAUUGCAUUUAAUGCAUAAGCGAUUCCGAAAAUUGGGUUUACUAUUGCGUAACAACUUGACCUUACUUUUUAUUGAGUUGGUUUUUAUAAGAGGUGUGGUUGUAAAAUUUUUUUGACGUAUUAUAUAUUUUCUUAGUAAUGCUUCAUAUAGGGGAGAGGGAGGAGCGAACUAGAAAUCGAAAAAAAAACUAAUAUUUUUUGCUAUUUUCCCAAUGUAUUGGCAACAUUUAAGUAUAACUUAUAUAUACAAAAAUUAAUGGUUAAAUACAAUACUUUUUAAUUUUUAAAACAUAGUUUUUUGUACCAAUGCUCCCUUACAUGAGGAGUAAGUGUCCCAUUGAUACACAACUAUAUUUUGAUAAAAAAAUAUUAUUUUAAAACAAUAUGAAAUACAGUACACGUUGCUUUAUUUGUUUAACAUUUUGUAUUUGUGUGUAAGUAAAGUUGAUGGUUUUCCCAUCAACUCUGUAGCAUGCCUUUUAUUAUUCUAUUCAGAUUUUUAUUACGUUCAACAGAGUGUUUUAUUACUCUGCUUCACUAAUCCUAAGUUCUGUAGUUUAUAUUUUUGUUACAAUUGUGUGCAUUCGAAUCCUGCUCCUAUUGAUAAGUUCUUGGUCUUUUAUCAAUCUUACUAAGUUUCUUAUAUAUUAAACAACUUUUUAUUAAUUUUUAUUAAAGUCCCAAAAUGCUCAAACAGUCUUGUCACAGGGCACCACAAAAAAGCAUUUAACUGGUAGAUUCAUGCUUCCUGUCUUGUUUAAAAAAAAAAUUGUAAUCUAUAUGUAGUUGCGAAGAAAAUAUAAAUUAACAGUAUUUGAUAUCUUUCCGAUAAUGUUGUACUCGCUUGAACAAUGUCUGUUAAGUUUGUACGGCAUAUCUAGCUUAACGUAACUUGACGUAAAUACUCGCUGGAUAAAUAAUCUCAUCACUAUUUGUCCGGUUGGUCACGUGGUACGUUUGCCGUACAAAUAUACCCCUAUUAAAAAUACGGUUAGUCACGUGGUACAUCACCGUACAAAUAGUGCUAAUGAUAUUCGUCCGGUAGCCGUACGCGUAGACACUGCCAUAUAAGUAUUGUAGCCUUAAAAGAGUAAAGUAUUGUAGACUUAGGUUAGCACUCUAUUUCUGGAUUCUUUCCUUUUCUAAAUAGACAGUUAUGUAAUUUUUUUAAAAUAGUUUUUAAAGUUUAAUUUUUAAUUACUAUAUUUUCUAUUUAAUGAUGCUAUGUGAAAGUCAAGAAAGUACAAGCUAAACUGCACUUUUAGAAAUGAUUUUUAAAAGUUUAACGUCUGCCAGAUGUUUAUCGCUUGAAUCAUAAACUAAGUGAUGCAGUGAUGAAUAAAGAUUUCAUGAAUCAAGCAACAAAAUUUGAAGGAUCUAAAAAUGCAUAAACAGCUUGGUUAUUGAUGGAAAUUCAGUAUAAACUAUACUGGAUAAAUGAAUCUACUAAUUUACCUUCAGCAGCAUUUACUUUAAAGUCUACUUCCUCUAGUGGCGCUGACAAUGUCUAUAAAGAAAUAUCUACUUCAUUUUGUGGCGAUGAAAAUUGUGCUGAUGCAGACGAAUCGUCAUCGACAUUUUCAAACAAACAUUGUCUGAAACUUUGUGGUUUUCUGGAUGUAUCUGACACUGAAAAUUUAUUUCAUGAGUGCAUGAGUCCUAAAAACUUUUAUAAGUUUUAUUUGUGUACCAAAUUCGGUUUUAUGGACCAUUUCUUGUAAGAAAUGCUUUUGAAAUAAUCAAGUAGAUUUGUUGUUUUUAAA